GGAAGGAUCAUUACCAAAAAGUGAGAAAUCACUUUCAACCCGCUAGGUGGCCCCUCCUGGGGCUGCUGAACCGGCCAACCCUUUGUGAACCAAACAAACCUUUCGCUUCGGCAGCUGGGCCCGAACGGGCCCGUCAGCCUGCCGCUAGCACCAACCUCCAAAACCUGAUGUCAAAAACAUUGUCUGAUAACCAAAAUUUUCGAAUGAAAAUCAAAACUUUCAACAACGGAUCUCUUGGUUCCCGCAUCGAUGAAGAACGCAGCGAAACGCGAUAGUUAAUGUGAAUUGCAGAAUUCAGUGAAUCAUCGAGUCUUUGAACGCACAUUGCGCCCAUUGGUAUUCCUUUGGGCAUGUCUGUUUGAGCGUCAUUACAACCCUCAGCUAACCGCUGGUUUUGAACCCGAACGGCCCUGAACGGGGACCCCGCGCCGGUUCUAAAGUUGUAAGCUCUGCUGGCCGCUCUGCCCAACCGGAACAUAGUAAGCUCUACUUGUUCGGGGUGAAGCUGAACGGUGCGGCCUGAACAAAACCUACCCAUUUCUUCAAGGUUUGACCUCAGAUCAGACAAGGAUACCCGCUGAACUUAAGCAUAUCAAUAAGCGGAGGAAAAGAAACCAACAGGGAUUGCCUCAGUAACGGCGAGUGAAGCGGCAACAGCUCAAAUUUGAAAUCUGGAGCCUUCGGCUUCCGAGUUGUAAUUUGAAGAGGAUGUUUCGGUGCGGCCUGGGCCCAAGUUCCUUGGAACAGGAUGUCAUGGAGGGUGAGAAUCCCGUACAUGGCUGCAGGCUUGCUUCCGUGUGAAACUCCUUCGAAGAGUCGAGUUGUUUGGGAAUGCAGCUCAAAAUGGGUGGUAAAUUUCAUCUAAAGCUAAAUAUUGGCGGGAGACCGAUAGCGCACAAGUAGAGUGAUCGAAAGAUGAAAAGCACUUUGAAAAGAGAGUUAAACAGUACGUGAAAUUGUUGAAAGGGAAGCGCUUGCAAUCAGACUCGCCUUCAGUUGAUCAGCCUUCCUUCUGGUCGGUGCACUCUGCUGUUGGCGGGCCAGCAUCAGUUGGGGCGGCGGGACAAAGGCAGUGGGAAUGUGGCUCGCUCCGGUGAGUGUUAUAGCCCUCUGCGCCAUGCCGCCAGCCCCGACUGAGGUCCGCGGUUCGCCUAGGAUGCUGGCUUAAUGGUCGUAAGCGACCCGUCUUGAAACACGGACCAAGGAGUCUAACAUCUAUGCGAGUCUUUGGGUGUCAAACCCAUGGGCGGAAUGAAAGUGAACGGAGGUGGGAGUCCUCGCGGAUGCACCAUCGACCGAUCCUGAUGUUCUCGGAUGGAUUUGAGUAGGAGCAUAGCUGUUGGGACCCGAAAGAUGGUGAACUAUGCCUGAAUAGGGUGAAGCCAGAGGAAACUCUGGUGGAGGCUCGCAGCGGUUCUGACGUGCAAAUCGAUCGUCAAAUUUGGGUAUAGGGGCGAAAGACUAAUCGAACCAUCUAGUAGCUGGUUCCUGC
RNAcentral lists this unclassified non-coding RNA (1492 nucleotides) under uncultured fungus. RNAcentral's name for it is "sequence contains 18S rRNA gene, ITS1, 5.8S rRNA gene, ITS2, 28S rRNA gene". The stretch from base 551 to 1492 matches the Rfam family "Eukaryotic large subunit ribosomal RNA", at positions 1 to 961 of the family's 3401-position model. The record is from RNAcentral. Lineage: Eukaryota; Fungi.